Molecule: long non-coding RNA, 739 nt
Organism: Bolinopsis microptera
Lineage: Eukaryota; Metazoa; Ctenophora; Tentaculata; Lobata; Bolinopsidae
Exons: 3
Source: RefSeq, a predicted model, not a curated record
AGUUAUCGACUGACGACUUUGCUGUAUUACAUAGUGUACUUGGUACAUAAUUGAUCAACGAUAAUAGGAGGAACCCCUGCAAGCUUUAAAGGGCUCGUGUUACUUUAACAUCACUUUUGAAUUUCACGAAAGCAGAUAAAAGUUUUAGUGACGUUGCAGAAACUCCGGAAUACUGUGGAUUGGGAGGAGGAGAAAGUGAUAAUUCUGUUAUAUGGCCUGUUUCUAGGACACGAUAAACUUCCUAAUAAGUUAACAACUCUACCUCGAUUCGAUGCAGUGCACAGUGGGAAAGGUUGAAGUUGACGUUCAAGCAGUCACCCUGCCGAACAAGAAAUCUUUCAGGCCAAGAGGCUAGGUGACUAGAAACUCAAUCACUAUAUCCGUGAAACUUGUCGGGAGCACUGUUAUGUGAGUUAUUUUACCUUCUAAAUUCCAAUGAGCAUGAAAAUUACCCAGGUUCAUGGAAUGCACGAAAAUGAACAAAAAUUAAUAUUCUCCUAAAACUAAAAGUGCUCAGAACGGUUUAAAACUGGCCGGAAAGCGUUUAGAUUGGUCCUAGGACCACUCAAACCAAGUUUGGGAAUCACUGCAUGUCUACAACCGAUGUAACCAAUGUUCCAAAAUGUUCCAAUUUUGUCCCAAUAACUCGUUCACCAGCCUACCUCCGUUCACCAGCAUGCGCUGUGACCGUCAUGGUCACGGCGCAAGAUGCGCGCAUUUUAAAAUUGCGGGAACACAU